RNAcentral lists this ribosomal RNA (253 nucleotides) under uncultured bacterium. RNAcentral describes it as "partial 16S ribosomal RNA". It matches the Rfam family "Bacterial small subunit ribosomal RNA", at positions 524 to 776 of the family's 1533-position model. The record is from RNAcentral.
GACGAACCGUGCGAACGUUGUUCGGAAUUACUGGGCGUAAAGGGCGCGUAGGCGGAUAUCUAAGUUGGGGGUGAAAUCCCGGGGCUCAACCUCGGAAUUGCCUUCAAAACUGGAUAUCUUGAGUUCGGGAGAGGUGAGUGGAACUCCGAGUGUAGAGGUGAAAUUCGUAGAUAUUCGGAAGAACACCAGUGGCGAAGGCGACUCACUGGCCCGAUACUGACGCUGAGGCGCGAAAGCGUGGGGAGCAAACAGG